This 497-nucleotide ribosomal RNA is filed under the name uncultured bacterium. RNAcentral describes it as "partial 16S ribosomal RNA". It matches the Rfam family "Bacterial small subunit ribosomal RNA", at positions 28 to 507 of the family's 1533-position model. The record is from RNAcentral.
GACGAACGCUGGCGGCGUGCCUAAUACAUGCAAGUAGAACGCUGACGAGAGGAGCUUGCUCUUCUUGGAUGAGUUGCGAACGGGUGAGUAACGCGUACGUAACCUCCCUGUUAGCGGGGGAUAACUAUUGGAAACGAUAACUAAUACCGCAUCAAAUUGAUUAUUCCCUGAUACUUACUUGAAAGAUGCAACUUCUUCACUACCAGAUUGACCUGCGUUGUAUUAGCUAGUUGGUGAGGUAACGGCUCACCAAGGCGACGAUACAUAGCCGACCUGAGAGGGUGAGCGGCCACACUGGGACUGAGACAGGGACAAGACUCCUACGGGAGGCAGCAGUAGGGGAGCGGCAGAAAUGGGGGGAGGCCUGACCGAGAAACGCCGAGUGAGUGAACAAGGUUUCCGGAUUGUGAAGCUCAGUUGUAAGAGAAGAACGGGUGUGAGGGUGGAAAGUUCACACUGUGAAGGUAUCUUACCAGAAAGGGACGGCUAACUACGUG